AAGUCGUAACAAGGUUUCCGUAGGUGAACCUGCGGAAGGAUCAUUACAAAUCCAUUUUUUUUUUUCUUUUAAGGUGCCAGCUGAGCGGAUGGACGUUAAGGUUUCACAACCUUGUCCUUCUGCUCGCUGCCCUUAAGGGAUUAAAAAAAAAACCAAAUACCUCAAAACACCCUUUGUGCACUGUUGAAACGGCGUCAACGAGGGAAAACAACCUUUCCCCCCGUAGGCGUCUACCCAUUUCAAACGCUUUAUUUUUGUUUUGCCUAAAGGUUUUGAAAACCCAAGUGAUUUAAAUAAAUCUAAAAUACAACUUUUAGCAACGGAUCUCUUGGCUCUC
RNAcentral lists this unclassified non-coding RNA (337 nucleotides) under fungal sp. RNAcentral describes it as "partial internal transcribed spacer region". The stretch from base 1 to 46 matches the Rfam family "Eukaryotic small subunit ribosomal RNA", at positions 1786 to 1831 of the family's 1831-position model. The record is from RNAcentral. Lineage: Eukaryota; Fungi.